This 807-nucleotide ribosomal RNA is filed under the name Triticum aestivum (bread wheat). Its description in RNAcentral is "partial small subunit ribosomal RNA". Lineage: Eukaryota; Viridiplantae; Streptophyta; Magnoliopsida; Poales; Poaceae. The record is from RNAcentral.
AUGAUCAACGAUUCCGCAAGCGGCAGUGGGAAUUCGAAGAAACAGAGAAGGAAGAAGAGGAGGAGGUCCCUGGUGAGGGCUGCGGUGGAGACUGGCUGGAUGCCCUCAGAUGCCGAUGUCCGCGUCCGUGUAGAAGAUGCCUCGCCCAUGCCGCUCAAUUUUGUUCAACACGGCGUCCAUGUCCUUGGCGGUUGCCCAAGUUCAGGAACAGGAUGCAUGUGUGGCAAUAAGCUCAGCUGCUGCCCAAACAAUGGUGUGCAUGUCCUUAGUACAGGGAGCUUGCCCAUCUUGGCCGGUGAAGAGGUACUGCCCGAGGACGCUGAGACCCAGGACGGCAAUGAGGUGCUGCCCGAGGACGCCGAGACCGACGGCGGAGAGGUGCUGCCCGAGGGCGCCGAUGCCGAUGGCGGACACAUGUUGCCCGAGGACACCGAGACCGGCGACGACGUAGACGUGCUGCUUGAGGACGCCCAGACCGACGAUGGCAUAGAGUUGCUGCCCGAGGAUGCCCAGACCGACGACGGUGUUGAGUUGCUGCUCCAGGACGCCCAGACCGACGAUGGCAUAGAGUUGCUGCCCGAGGACGCCCAGACCGACGACGGCGUCGAGUUGCUGCUCCAGGACGCCCAGACCGACGAUGGCGUAGAGUUGCUUCCUGAAGACGGUGAAGCGGCACUGCCGGAGGAUGCUGACAGUGAUGUAUCUUUCGUGCCUGACUCUAUGCCCGCUCACGGUGGCGACUCGCUCGAUGAAUCGACGAUGGAGGAACCAGUACAUGUAUGCAUGAAGCAGUACAACCAUGCAUGA